CGGAGAGGUUUCGAGUCCUGGACUCAAGGACGAACGCUGGACGGCGUAGCCUAAUACGAUGCAAGUCGAGCGAACCAAUAGAAGCUUGCUUUUGUGGUUAGCGGCGGACGGUGAGUAACACGUGGGUAACCUGCCUGUAAGACCGGGAUAACUCCGGGAAACCGGUGCUAAUUACCGGAUAGAUUAUCUUUCCGCCUGGAGAGAUAAGGAAGAUGGCUUUUGCCAUCACUUACAGAUGGGCCCGCGGCGCAUUAGCUAGUUGGUGAGGUAACGGCUCACCAAGGCGACGAUGCGUAGCGACCUGAGAGGGUGAUCGGCCACACUGGGACUGAGACACGGCCCAGACUCCUACGGGAGGCAGCAGUAGGGAAUCUUCCGCAAUGGACGAAAGUCUGACGGAGCAACGCCGCGUGAGCGAAGAAGGUCUUCGGAUCGUAAAGCUCUGUUGUUAGGGAAGAACAAGUAUCGGAGGAAAUGCCGGUACCUUGACGGUACCUGACGAGAAAGCCACGGCUAACUACGUG
RNAcentral lists this ribosomal RNA (524 nucleotides) under uncultured Bacillaceae bacterium. Its description in RNAcentral is "bacterial SSU rRNA". It matches the Rfam family "Bacterial small subunit ribosomal RNA", at positions 1 to 507 of the family's 1533-position model. The record is from RNAcentral. Lineage: Bacteria; Bacillati; Bacillota; Bacilli; Caryophanales; Bacillaceae.